GACGAACGCUGGCGGCGUGCUUAACACAUGCAAGUCGAACGGAAAGGCCCUGCUUUUGUGGGGUGCUCGAGUGGCGAACGGGUGAGUGACACGUGAGUAACCUGCCCUUGACUUUGGGAUAACUUCAGGAAACUGGGGCUAAUACCGGAUAGGAGCUCCUGCUGCAUGGUGGGGGUUGGAAAGUUUCGGCGGUUGGGGAUGGACUCGCGGCUUAUCAGCUUGUUGGUGGGGUAGUGGCUUACCAAGGCUUUGACGGGUAGCCGGCCUGAGAGGGUGACCGGCCACAUUGGGACUGAGAUACGGCCCAGACUCCUACGGGAGGCAGCAGUGGGGAAUAUUGCACAAUGGGCGGAAGCCUGAUGCAGCAACGCCGCGUGCGGGAUGACGGCCUUCGGGCUGUAAACCGCUUUCGCCUGUGACGAAGCGUGAGUGACGGUAAUGGGUAAAGAAGCACCGGCUAACUACGUG
Molecule: ribosomal RNA, 468 nt
Filed under: uncultured bacterium
Lineage: Bacteria
Description: partial 16S ribosomal RNA
Rfam family: Bacterial small subunit ribosomal RNA
Source: RNAcentral